GCCUAACACAUGCAAGUCCGAGCGGCAGCACAAGUGAGUUUACUCAUGAGUGUGGCUGAGCGGCGGACGGGUGAGUAAUGCCUAGAGGAUCUGCCCAGUCGAGGGGGAUAACAGUUGGAAACGACUGCUAAUACCGCAUACGCCCUACGGUGGNGAAAGAGGGGGACCUUCGNGUGCCUCUCGCGACUUGGAUGAACCUACGGUGGGAUUAGCUAGUUGGUGAGUGUAAUGGCUCACCAAGGCUGACGAUCCCAUAGCUGUUCUGAGAGGAUGAUCAGCCACACUGGGACUGAGACACGGCCCAGACUCCUACGGGAGGCAGCAGUAGGGGAAUAUUUGCACAAUUGGGGGAAACCCUGAUGCAGCCAUGCCGCAGUAGUGUGAAGAAGGCCUUCGUGGUUGUAAAGCACUUUCAGAUAGGGAGGAAAGGUUGUAAGUUAAUACCUNUGCAGCUGUGACGUUACCUACAGAAGAAGGACCGGCUAACUCCGUGCCA
Molecule: ribosomal RNA, 496 nt
Filed under: uncultured bacterium
Lineage: Bacteria
Description: bacterial SSU rRNA
Rfam family: Bacterial small subunit ribosomal RNA
Source: RNAcentral